UGAUAGAGGAAAAUACCAACAUUUUGUUUGCAACACAAAAAUACCUAUCAA
Molecule: transfer RNA, 51 nt
Filed under: Tetranychus malaysiensis
Lineage: Eukaryota; Metazoa; Arthropoda; Arachnida; Trombidiformes; Tetranychidae
Description: tRNA-Cys
Source: RNAcentral